AGCUGGUCCGAUGGUAGUGGGUUAUCAGAACUUAAUAACAUUAGUGUCACUAAAGUUGAUUUACAACUUGCAUUGCUAAAUUUAACUGGCUUUUA
Molecule: Y RNA, 95 nt
Filed under: Theropithecus gelada (gelada)
Lineage: Eukaryota; Metazoa; Chordata; Mammalia; Primates; Cercopithecidae
Description: Y RNA (ENSTGEG00000018465.1)
Rfam family: Y RNA
About the family: Y RNAs are components of the Ro ribonucleoprotein particle (Ro RNP), in association with Ro60 and La proteins.
Source: Rfam by way of RNAcentral